This 421-nucleotide ribosomal RNA is filed under the name uncultured bacterium. RNAcentral's name for it is "partial 16S ribosomal RNA". It matches the Rfam family "Bacterial small subunit ribosomal RNA", at positions 360 to 773 of the family's 1533-position model. The record is from RNAcentral.
AAUUUUCGGCAAUGGGGGAAACCCUGACCGAGCAAUGCCGCGUGAAUUAUGAAGGUCUUCGGAUCGUAAGGUUCUGUUAUUGGGAAAGAACAGUAUAACUAGGAAAUGAGUUAUAUUUGACGGUACCUGAUGAGAAAGCCCCGGCUAGCUAUGUGCCAGCAGCCGCGGUAAUACAUAGGGGGCGAGCGUUAUCCGGAAUUAUUGGGCGUAAAGCGUGCGUAGGCGGCUUAUUAAGUCUGACGUGAAAUCCCACAGCUUAACUGUGGAGGGUCGUUGGAAACUGGUAGGCUUGAGUACAGUAGAGGUAAGUGGAAUUCCAAGUGGAGCGGUGAAAUGCGUAGAUAUUAGGAGGAACACCAGUGGCGAAGGCGACUUACUGGACUGUAACUGACGUUGAGGCACGAAAGUGUGGGGAGCAAAC